AUUUCUGCUAAACACAAUGGAAACUAUUCUUGUGUAAUUAGUAACAAUUAUGGACAAGAUUCUACAUCUAUACUGAUUGGAAUCGAAGGAUCACCUAAUUGGAUUGAACAACCCAAUGAUUUAAAAGUUAAAUAUGGACAAUUAAUUGAUGUUAAAUGUCUUGUUUCUGGUUACCCGAAACCUAAAGUCCAAUGGAAAAAGUUAACUGGCUCAAUUUGGACUGAAAUGGAAUCAAUUAGUUAUGAAAUCGACAAUUCUGGACAACAUUUGAAAAUUUACAAUUCCACUCGAAACAAUCAAGGUAGAUAUGGAUGCUCUGUCUCGAAUGGUAUUCAACCUGAUCUAUGGACAGAAUUUUCCAUAACCAUUGAAGGUAUUUGUUGAAUAUUAUUUUCUAUGUAAUUUCACUUGGAAUUGGCGCUUUUCUACUUUGACAUAAUCUUAUUUGACCAAAGAAAAUAUUGAACAUAUGAUUAACAGAAACUUUAAGCUUGUUUGUAAUAUAAUCGUGAUUGAUAAUUGUUUUGGUGGACAAAAUGUUUCUAUUCACUUUGAUUGUUUUCUGUUUAUUCAGAAACCAAGUAAAUGGACAAGAGAGUCCAAAAGUAGCUCCAUUUUCAUCUAUAGUUAAACCAGUAAUCGGUGGGAAGACAUCAUUCACUUGUCAAUCUCUAACGGGAUCAUCUCCAUUUCAGAUUGUUUGGUUCAAGAAUAACAAAGAAAUUCAAGAUUCGAUAGAAACCAGGAUUCGUAAUAAUGAGGACUCAUCAAUGUUAAUCAUUGAUUCAAUCAAAUCAAGUCACUCUGCUAAUUAUACAUGUAAAAUCUCAAAUAGAUUUGGUUAUGACUCUUACUCGAGUGAACUGCUAGUUGAAGGUUCACCAAAUUGGAUUGAGAAACCAACUAAUCUAAAAUUGAAAUAUGGACAAUCAGUUGACAUCAAAUGUCUUGCCUCCGGUUAUCCAUCACCAAGAAUUCAAUGGAAAAGAUUUAAAGGUUCAUCUUGGAAAACAAUUGAUUCCAAUGAUAUGAUUAAGAUCGAUAACAAUUUGAAAAUUAUCAAUAUUUCUCAACAUCAUCAAGGAAAAUAUGGAUGUUCAGCCUCGAAUGGUAUUCAACCUGAUCUAUGGACAGAAUUUGAAAUGAUUGUUGAAGAAAUUAGAUGAAAAUAGUAAACAAUCAACACAGAUCAUUGCAAAUGAUUACGAUCAUCAUGUAUUUACCUUUUAUUAGCAAAAUGUUUGGUGUUUUACUAACUUUUUAUCUUUUCCAAAGUCAUCAAGUUAAUGGAUUUCAAAGUCCAAAAGUAGCUCCAUUCACAUCUUUAGUUAAACCAGUGAUCGGAGGAUAACCAAUAGGUAUGGACACGAUUCUCAAAGUACUCAACUUUUGGUUGAAGGACCUCCUAAUUGGAUUAAUAAACCUUCAAGUAUGAAAUUUAAAUUAUCUCAAUCAGUUAUCAUGAGAUGUGCAGCAUCAGGU
Molecule: RNA transcript, 1482 nt
Organism: Panonychus citri (citrus red mite)
Lineage: Eukaryota; Metazoa; Arthropoda; Arachnida; Trombidiformes; Tetranychidae
Gene name: cell adhesion molecule DSCAM-like
Exons: 10
Source: RefSeq, a predicted model, not a curated record